This 450-nucleotide ribosomal RNA is filed under the name Triticum aestivum (bread wheat). RNAcentral's name for it is "partial small subunit ribosomal RNA". Lineage: Eukaryota; Viridiplantae; Streptophyta; Magnoliopsida; Poales; Poaceae. The record is from RNAcentral.
AUGAGCACCUCUGAAAGGUGCGCCGUCUUCGACAACUUCCUCGCCGACCCCAGGUACACCUUUGCAGGCUUCUCCAUCGACGGCGACAAAACCAGGCUGGAGCGCGUCAAACUGGAGGUCGCCAACUUCGUCGACAUCCAAAAGGAGUGGAGGGUGCCCGAGGCAACCAAGCCGUUGGACUCCCUCGGAGACGUCUCCGGCAUGCUCAUCGACGACUACUACAACAACAUGAAGAAGAAGAUCACCGAUGACAAGCACCAGUGCUUGGCCACCCCGCCUCUGUCCAUGAGGCACAUCGAGUACGCGGCAAAGGACGCCUACGCAGCGUACGAGAUAUCGAACCGCAUCACCCUCACCCAGGACGGCCUUUGCCGUGCAAAGCUGGAGAAGGAGGAGCCCCCCAAGAAGCGCGCCAGGAGCAGCUGGGGAUGGGGAGAGCCUAACUGGUGA